GACGAACGCUGGCGGCGUGCUUAACACAUGCAAGUCGAACGGACAGGCGCAGCUUUCUCGGUGCUCGUGUUGCCAACGGGCGGGUAACUCGUACGUGAUCUGCCUCUCUCUUCGACUUAAGCAUCUUCAACUAGCUCUAGUUCCGGCUAGGACAAUUUUUUAGCCUCAGUUGUCGAAAGUUUUUUCGGUUCUUGCUGGGCCCGCUGCCUAGCACCUUGUUGGUGUGGUAAUGUCCUACCAAAGCGUCGACGGGUAGCCGGCCUGAGAGGGUGGACGGCCACAAUGGGACUGAGAUACGGACCAGAAUCCUACGGGAGGCAGCAGGGGGGAAUAUUGCAGAAUGGGCGCAAGCCUGAUGCAGCGACGCCGGGUGCGGGAUGACGGCCUUCGGGUUGUAAACCUAUGUCGACAGGGACGAAGCCUUGGUGACGGUACCUGUAGAAGAAGCACCGGCUAACUACGUG
Molecule: ribosomal RNA, 464 nt
Filed under: uncultured bacterium
Lineage: Bacteria
Description: partial 16S ribosomal RNA
Rfam family: Bacterial small subunit ribosomal RNA
Source: RNAcentral